GGCUUUAUAGUCAAUAUGUUAUAUGAUAUUAGACUGCAAUUCUAAAGUAGGUAACACCUAAAGCUU
RNAcentral lists this transfer RNA (66 nucleotides) under Aelia fieberi. Its description in RNAcentral is "tRNA-Cys". The record is from RNAcentral. Lineage: Eukaryota; Metazoa; Arthropoda; Insecta; Hemiptera; Pentatomidae.